RNAcentral lists this unclassified non-coding RNA (292 nucleotides) under uncultured Bartonella sp. RNAcentral describes it as "partial 16S-23S ribosomal RNA intergenic spacer". Lineage: Bacteria; Pseudomonadati; Pseudomonadota; Alphaproteobacteria; Hyphomicrobiales; Bartonellaceae. The record is from RNAcentral.
UUUGAUAAGCGUGAGGUCGGAGGUUCAAGUCCUCCCAGGCCCACCAGUUACACUAUGCAGCAAAUUGCUCUGGUGACUGAAAGUUGCUCUGAGUGAGAAUGUUAAAAUCCAGUGAGAAUGUUACCACUCCCCUUAUUGAGUAAUUCCUUAAAGAAAAUUUAUGCUUAAAUAAAUUCUUCUAAGAGCGUUUUAAAAAGCUUAGAGAAGCUUCUGUUUUAAAAGUAUGGCGUUUUUAUAAAGCAAGACAUGAGGGCAUUUAGAACUGUUUUAGGGGCCGUAGCUCAGCUGGGAA